This 336-nucleotide unclassified non-coding RNA is filed under the name soil metagenome. Its description in RNAcentral is "partial contains 5.8S ribosomal RNA, internal transcribed spacer 2, and large subunit ribosomal RNA". The stretch from base 1 to 120 matches the Rfam family "5.8S ribosomal RNA", at positions 35 to 154 of the family's 154-position model. The record is from RNAcentral.
GAUGAAGAACGCAGCGAAAUGCGAUAAGUAAUGUGAAUUGCAGAAUUCAGUGAAUCAUCGAAUCUUUGAACGCACAUUGCGCCCGCCAGUAUUCUGGCGGGCAUGCCUGUUCGAGCGUCAUUUCAACCAUCAAGCCCCCGGCUUGUGUUGGGGACCUGCGGCUGCCGCAGGCCCUGAAAAGCAGUGGCGGGCUCGCUGUCACACCGAGCGUAGUAGCAUACAUCUCGCUCUGGGCGUGCUGCGGGUUCCGGCCGUUAAACCACCUUCAUAACCCAAGGUUGACCUCGGAUCAGGUAGGAAGACCCGCUGAACUUAAGCAUAUCAAUAAGCGGAUGA